AAAAGGAGAUAAAUGUAAUCACACAUCAAUUAGUAUUAUUAGGCAUAAAGGUGUGGACAAGGAAUGCUUAAUUACUUGGAGUGGGUGGCUAUGGUGUGUAGAUGAUUACAGAUUUGAAUGGGCUUGGACAUCAUGACUAUGUGAUCUGAUCCAGAGACAUAAAUCACGUGUGGGGGGAAGACACCAUCUUCUUCUGAGACGACUCACGGGGCAGGCACCUUUUUCAUCAUCAACGUUGUUGCCAGCUUUACAUCACCAAUCCUCAUAUCAAAUACAAAAACAAAUGCAAAUCAAAGUCACAUCACAUCACCACCACCUUUACUUUGCCUUUUAUUCACAACAAGGCUUCCAACAAUAGUUGUUCAAGGGAAAACACCAAUUGAAGCAUGGAUGGGAGUAAAUUCCUCUGCCACUUGAAGAUUUUUGGAUCAAUCUGCUAUGUUCAUGUUGCAGCAGUUAAAAGAUCCAAAUUGGAUGACAAAGCUGAAAUGAGAAAUUUCUUAGGCUAUGCUUCAGGCUCUAAAGGUCAUAAAGUGUAAAAUUUGAAGUCAAAACAAAUUGUGAUCAAACCAGGACAUUCAAUUUGAUGAAAAUGCAUAUUGGGAUUGGGAAAAUGGUGAAGUUCGUAGAAGCAUGAAGUCUGAACAACAACAAGAUACAAAUGAUGAUGAAAUUCAGAUUGCUGAAUUUGAUUCCCCGGUGCUGAAAACAAAGUCUUUGACUGAAAUUUAUGAAAAAUGCAACUUUGUUGUGCAUAGGCCUUCUUGUUUUGAAGAAGUCUCAAUGCAAAAAGAAUGAAAUGAUGCAAUGAAGGAGGAGCUGAUUAUGAUUAACAAAAAUGGUACUUGGGAACUUACUCCCAAGGACAAGCAUGUGAUUGGUGUGAAAGUGGUUUAUAGAACAAAGUUAUAUCCUGAUGGUUCCAUUAUCCUGAUGGUUCCAUUCAGAAACAUAAAGCUAGACUUGUUGUGAAGGGAUAUUCUCAAAUGACUGGAGUUGAAUAUAGUGAUACAUUUGUGCAUGUUGCUAGGCAUGAAACAAUUAGAUCAAUUGUUGCUUUAUCAACUCAAUGUGGAUGGAAAAUAUUUCAUUUGGAUGUCAAAUUAGCUUUUCUAAAUGGAGUUUUGGAGGAAGAAAUUUAUGUUGAGUAGCCUGCUAGUUUUAUCGUUGCAGGUCAUGAAGACAAUGUUUAUAGGCUUCGCAAAGCCUUGUAUCCAAGAGCUUGGUACAACAGAAUUGAUUCACACUUCCUGCAAAAUGAUUUCAGGAGGAGCCAAAAUGAAUCUACUCUUUAUGUCAAAGAGUGUGACUUUGGAAAGCAAAUUAUUGUUUCACUUUAUGUUGAUGAUUUGCUUGUUACAGGUGAUGAUGUUGAUGAAAUUGACAAAUUUAAAAGUAGCAUGUUGCAAGUUUUCUAAAUGACAGGUCUUGGAAUGAUGAAGUAUUUCUUGGGAAUGGAAGUAGAUCAACUUGAUGAUGGAAUCUUUCUCUCACAGAGAAAGUAUGUUGUUGAUUUGCUAAAGAAAUUCAAAUUGGAGAGUUGUAAUCCCGUUACAACUCCACUUGCUGUAAAUGAAAAGCUCUCUAAGAAUGAUGGCGAUGCAAAGGUUGAUGUAACUCAGUAUAGAAGUUUGAUUGACAGCCUUCUUUUCUUGACUGCAACUAGACCAGAUUUGAUGUUUCUGCUAUUUUGAUUUCAAGGUUCAUGGGUGCACCAAGUUUAACACACUUUAGUGUAGGCAAAAGAGUGCAGAGAUAUUUGAAAGACACGGUUGGUUGAUUUUGGCAUUUGGUACUACAAAGGAGAUGGUAAGUUUGAAGGUUAUGUUGAUAGUGAUUGGGCUAAUUCUAUUGAUGAUUCAAAGAGCACAACUGGAUUUGUCUUUUCACUUGGCAAUGGUGUGUUCACAUGGAAUUCUAAGAAGCAAGGUGUAGUUGCUCAAUCUUCAGCUAAAGCUGAGUAUAUUGCUGCAACAACUGUCUCAAAUCAAGCUAUUUGGAUUAGAAAGGUAUUGACUGACUUGAAUCAUGUGCAAGAAGAAUCUAUUGUGGUAUGGUACGACAACAAAUUAACUAUUGUUAUUGCUAAAAUUCCAAUUCAACAUGGAAGAACCAAGCAUAUCAAUGCCAAAUUUCAUGCUGUAAGAGAUGCGGAGAAGAAUGGAGAUGUUCAAUUGAUGCACUGCAGCUCUGAAGAGCAAAUUACAGACAUUUUAACUAAGGCACUUCCAUGUGCUAAGUUUAAUGUGUUGAGGAGCAAGCUUGGAAUGUUCAAGAAAAGUUUUAAGGAGGAGUGUUAGACAUAACGGGCUAUAAAACUUUUCUGAUUUAUUAUUUACUGUUGUAAUGAUGUUUAAUUGUUCAGCUUGCUUGCUUGUGUCAGUAAGCAAUGUUCCUAUUAGUGGUUUUUAAUUUGAGCAAAACUGCACUCUCUGAUGUGAGUGGUUGCAUGUAUUUUAGUAACAACAUGUAUAGGUAUCAUGAUGGAUUGUCACUUUUCAUGUAUUUGCACUUAAAUAUGAAUGGAAACAUACAAAACAGUAUGGAUGUUCAGCAUGAA
Long non-coding RNA from Glycine soja, 2560 nucleotides. RefSeq lists it as uncharacterized. The transcript is spliced from 2 exons. The record is from RefSeq and is a predicted model, not a curated record. Lineage: Eukaryota; Viridiplantae; Streptophyta; Magnoliopsida; Fabales; Fabaceae.